AACAAAAGGGGUUAAAAAGUAUUAUUAGUUAAAGUUAAUGCUUAUAUUUAAAGUCGAAAAAUAUUAUUGUUGUUAGGUGAAAUUUUAAAAUAUGUUAUAGGCUUUAGUUGUAUCAAAUGAAGCUGUGAAAGUUAGUCAAUAAACUAGGAUUAGAUACCCUAUUAUUCUAAUUGUUAUGAAAAAAGGCUUGAGUAGUAAUAGUUAUGUUCUUAAAACUCAAAGAAUUUGGCGGUGUUUUAGUCUUAUCAGAGGAAUUUGCCCCGUGAUCGAUAACCCACGUUUUACUUUACUUAGCUUGGUUUACAGCUUGUAUACCGCCGUCAGCAGGAUAUAUUAGGAAAUAAUAUUCAGGAAUUAUAAAUAUAACAUAUGUCAGGUCAAGGUGCAGUUUAUGGUUAAGAGGAGGUGAAUUACAAUAUAAAGAUAUAUUACGGAGUUGGGAGUGUAAACUUCUAAUAAAGGUGGAUUUGGGUGUAAUAAAAUAUAGAUAGAUUUUAUGAUAUAAAGCUCUAAAACAUGCACACAUCGCCCGUCGCUCUCAUUUUAAGGUGAG
This 553-nucleotide ribosomal RNA is filed under the name Ephemera strigata. RNAcentral describes it as "partial 12S ribosomal RNA". RNAcentral also lists the same sequence under 1 other name. Lineage: Eukaryota; Metazoa; Arthropoda; Insecta; Ephemeroptera; Ephemeridae. The record is from RNAcentral.